Molecule: ribosomal RNA, 465 nt
Filed under: uncultured Klebsiella sp.
Lineage: Bacteria; Pseudomonadati; Pseudomonadota; Gammaproteobacteria; Enterobacterales; Enterobacteriaceae
Description: bacterial SSU rRNA
Rfam family: Bacterial small subunit ribosomal RNA
Source: RNAcentral
CCUACGGGUGGCAGCAGUGGGGAAUAUUGCACAAUGGGCGCAAGCCUGAUGCAGCCAUGCCGCGUGUGUGAAGAAGGCCUUCGGGUUGUAAAGCACUUUCAGCGGGGAGGAAGGCGUUAAGGUUAAUAACCUUGUCGAUUGACGUUACCCGCAGAAGAAGCACCGGCUAACUCCGUGCCAGCAGCCGCGGUAAUACGGAGGGUGCGAGCGUUAAUCGGAAUUACUGGGCGUAAAGCACACGCAGGCGGUCUGUCAAGUCGGAUGUGAAAUCCCCGGGCUCAACCUGGGAACUGCAUUCGAAACUGGCAGGCUAGAGUCUUGUAGAGGGGGGUAGAAUUCCAGGUGUAGCGGUGAAAUGCGUAGAGAUCUGGAGGAAUACCGGUGGCGAAGGCGGCCCCCUGGACAAAGACUGACGCUCAGGUGCGAAAGCGUGGGGAGCAAACAGGAUUAGAUACCCGGGUAGUC